GACGAACGCUGGCGGCGUGCCUAAUACAUGCAAGUAGAACGCACAGUUUAUACCGUAGCUUGCUCCACCAUAAACUGUGAGUUGCGAACGGGUGAGUAACGCGUAGGUAACCUGCCUGGUAGCGGGGGAUAACUAUUGGAAACGAUAGCUAAUACCGCAUAAUAUUAAUUAUUGCAUGAUAAUUGAUUGAAAGAUGCAAUUGCAUCACUACCAGAUGGACCUGCGUUGUAUUAGCUAGUAGGUGAGGUAACGGCUCACCUAGGCGACGAUACAUAGCCGACCUGAGAGGGUGAUAGGCCACACUGGGACUGAGACACGGCCCAGACUCCUACGGGAGGCAGCAGUAGGGAAUCUUCGGCAAUGGACGAAAGUCUGACCGAGCAACGCCGCGUGAGUGAAGAAGGUUUUCGGAUCGUAAAGCUCUGUUGUAAGAGAAGAACGGGUGUGAGAGUGGAAAGUUCACACUGUGACGGUAUCUUACCAGAAAGGGACGGCUAACUACGUG
Molecule: ribosomal RNA, 505 nt
Filed under: uncultured bacterium
Lineage: Bacteria
Description: partial 16S ribosomal RNA
Rfam family: Bacterial small subunit ribosomal RNA
Source: RNAcentral